CCUACGGGGGGCAGCAGUAGGGAAUAUUGCUCAAUGGGGGAAACCCUGAAGCAGCAACGCCGCGUGGAGGAUGAAGGUUUUCGGAUUGUAAACCCCUGUCAUUUGGGAGCAAAUUAAAAAGAUAGUACCACAAUAGUAAGAGACGGCUAACUCUGUGCCAGCAGCCGCGGUAAUACAGAGGUCUCAAGCGUUGUUCGGAAUCACUGGGCGUAAAGCGUGCGUAGGCUGUUUCGUAAGUCGUGUGUGAAAGGCGCGGGCUCAACCCGCGGACGGCACAUGAUACUGCGAGACUAGAGUAAUGGAGGGGGAAGCGGAAUUCGCGGUGGAGCAGUGAAAUGCGUAGAUAUCGAGAGGAACACUCGUGGCGAAGGCGGGUUCCUGGACAGUAACUGACGCUGAGGCACGAAGGCCAGGGGAGCGAAAGGGAUUAGAUACCCUAGUAGUC
This 445-nucleotide ribosomal RNA is filed under the name uncultured bacterium. RNAcentral describes it as "partial 16S ribosomal RNA". It matches the Rfam family "Bacterial small subunit ribosomal RNA", at positions 338 to 795 of the family's 1533-position model. The record is from RNAcentral.